GAUGAACGCUGGCGGCGUGCCUAAUACAUGCAAGUCGAGCGAACAGAUGAUGAGCUUGCUCCUCUGACGUUAGCGGCGGACGGGUGAGUAACACGUGGAUAACCUACCUAUACGACUGGGAUAACUUCGGGAAACCGGAUCUAAUACCGGAUAAUAUAUUGAACCGCCUGGUUCAGUAGUUAAAGACGGUUUUGCUGUCGCUUAUAGAUGGAUCCGCGCCGCAUUAGCUAGUUGGUAAUGUUACGGCGUACCAAGGCAACGAUGCGUAGCCGACCUGAGAGGGGGAUCGGCCACACUAGAACUGAGACACGGCCCAGACUCCUACGGGAGGCAGCAGUAGGGAAUCUUACGCAGUGGGCGAAAGCUUGACGGAGCAACGCCGCGUGAGUGAUGAAGGUCUUCGGAUCGUAAAACUCUGUUAUUAGGGAAGAACAAAUGUGUAAGUAACUAUGCACGUCUUGACGGUACCUAAUCAGAAAGCCACGGCUAACUACGUG
RNAcentral lists this ribosomal RNA (497 nucleotides) under uncultured bacterium. RNAcentral's name for it is "partial 16S ribosomal RNA". It matches the Rfam family "Bacterial small subunit ribosomal RNA", at positions 28 to 507 of the family's 1533-position model. The record is from RNAcentral.